GAUGAACGCUGGCGGCGUGCCUAAUACAUGCAAGUCGAGCGAACAGACGAGGCGCUUGCUCCUCUGACGUUAGCGGCGGACGGGUGAGUAACACGUGGAUAACCUACCUAUAAGACUGGGAUAACUUCGGGAAACCGGCGCUAAUACCGUAUAAUAUAUUGAACCGCAUGGUUCAAUAGUGAAAGACGGUUUUGCUGUCUCUUAUCGAUGGAUCCGCGCCGGAUUAGGUAGUUGGUACGGUAACGGCUUACCAAGGCAACGAUGCGUAGCCGACCUGAGAGGGGGAGCGGCCACACUGGAAGGGAGACACGGUACAGACGCCUAGGGGAGGCAGCAGUAGGGAAUCGGCAGGAAGGGGCGAAAGCCUGACGGAGAAAGGCGGAGUGAGGGAGGAAGGUCUUCGGAUCGUAAAACUCGGUUAUUAGGGAAGAACAAAUGUGUAAGUAAGAAGGAGCGUCUGGAAGGGAAAUAAGCAGAAAGCCACGGCUAAAUAAGUG
RNAcentral lists this ribosomal RNA (497 nucleotides) under uncultured bacterium. RNAcentral's name for it is "partial 16S ribosomal RNA". It matches the Rfam family "Bacterial small subunit ribosomal RNA", at positions 28 to 507 of the family's 1533-position model. The record is from RNAcentral.